AUGGAUUCGCCGUCACUCCUGACCAUGCACCUGCGCGGGUCUGCUUCGCCGCCCGACGUCGCCACGUCGGUGGCAAUCGAGGUGGAGGGAGGCGACGGGGUGGACCUCGCCCAGGUGGGCCUCGCGCUGGGGCUGGACCCGGCCACCGUCGGUCUCAAUGGCUACUUCCUCAGCUGCGGCUCCGGCCACGUCUCUUUGGCGGUCACCUGGGGCGAGCUCCUCGCCUUCUUCGCCGCGGGCGGGCAGCCCACGGGUGCCGACCCUGCCGCGCCCGUCGCCGUCGACGGCGGGCCCGUGCCUUCGCCUCCAGAGCCCAGAGUUGUUCUGUCCUCAAAGCGAAAGCCUGGGUUGGAGACCGAAAAUUGUUCCAAGAAGAGUAAGCUCCAACACAACAGCUCCGCUCAGUCAAAAGGAGGCGAAGAGCUACUUACCGAUGAGAUCACCCUUGGUUUGAAGAGAAGACUCACAUUGGACGAGGCUAGUCCAUAUAAGAAGAUUAAACAAGUAGACUACAGCUCAGGCUCUGAAGCACAGCAGUCAGUUAAAUACUCUUACAGCUUCGCCAUCAGUCACGACAAAGCGGCCAUCGAAUGA
RNAcentral lists this ribosomal RNA (594 nucleotides) under Triticum aestivum (bread wheat). RNAcentral's name for it is "partial small subunit ribosomal RNA". The record is from RNAcentral. Lineage: Eukaryota; Viridiplantae; Streptophyta; Magnoliopsida; Poales; Poaceae.